Molecule: ribosomal RNA, 337 nt
Filed under: Deltaproteobacteria bacterium
Lineage: Bacteria; Pseudomonadati; Myxococcota; Myxococcia
Also listed under: 2 other names
Description: bacterial SSU rRNA
Rfam family: Bacterial small subunit ribosomal RNA
Source: RNAcentral
CCUGGGCUACACACACGCUACAAUGGCCGGUACAACGGGCUGCGAAAGCGCGAGCUGGAGCUAAUCCCCCAAAGCCGGCCCCAGUUCAGAUUGCAGGCUGCAACUCGCCUGCAUGAAGGCGGAGUCGCUAGUAACCGCAGGUCAGCAAUACUGCGGUGAAUACGUUCCCGGGCCUUGUACACACCGCCCGUCACGUCAUGGAAGCCAGCAGCACCUGAAGCCGCUGAGCCAACGCGCAAGCGAGGCAGGCGCCUAGGGUGAGGUGGGUAACUGUGACGAAGUCGUAACAAGGUAGCCGUACGGGAACGUGCGGCUGGAUCACCUCCUUUCUAGGGAG